CCUACGGGGGAGCAGCAGUAGGGAAUCUUCCGCAAUGGACGAAAGUCUGACGGAGCAACGCCGCGUGAGUGAUGAAGGCUUUCGGGUCGUAAAACUCUGUUGUUAGGGAAGAACAAGUGCUAGUUGAAUAAGCUGGCACCUUGACGGUACCUAACCAGAAAGCCACGGCUAACUACGUGCCAGCAGCCGCGGUAAUACGUAGGUGGCAAGCGUUAUCCGGAAUUAUUGGGCGUAAAGCGCGCGCAGGUGGUUUCUUAAGUCUGAUGUGAAAGCCCACGGCUCAACCGUGGAGGGUCAUUGGAAACUGGGAGACUUGAGUGCAGAAGAGGAAAGUGGAAUUCCAUGUGUAGCGGUGAAAUGCGUAGAGAUAUGGAGGAACACCAGUGGCGAAGGCGACUUUCUGGUCUGUAACUGACACUGAGGCGCGAAAGCGUGGGGAGCAAACAGGAUUAGAUACCCUGGUAGUCCACGCCGUAAACGAUGAGUGCUAAGUGUUAGAGGGUUUCCGCCCUUUAGUGCUGAAGUUAACGCAUUAAGCACUCCGCCUGGGGAGUACGGCCGCAAGGCUGAAACUCAAAGGAAUUGACGGCGGGCGGGGGCG
This 601-nucleotide ribosomal RNA is filed under the name bacterium SU2. RNAcentral describes it as "bacterial SSU rRNA". It matches the Rfam family "Bacterial small subunit ribosomal RNA", at positions 338 to 931 of the family's 1533-position model. The record is from RNAcentral.